UUUUUUUUUAUUUACAUGUCCCACUGUACUAUGAUGCUCAGCACAACAAUUUAGAUUUCCCUUAUUCCAGUAUAUUUCUGUUUUGUUCCAUAUUUUCUCCUGUCCUUGAAAACCUUCUUAUGAGAGCCUAUUGGAUUCGGAGAAAGGGGUGGUGUCCUGGCUCUGUGCCCAUCAGCAAGUUGCUGAAAUUCUCUGGGCUUGUUGCUUUGUGGAGGAUAUUGGCAGAUGUGAUGUCUGAGUUAUUUUUUUCAGAAGACUGUCUGUCUUGCUACUUGGAAAAAAAGAGCAUGGUUAUGUAGCAUGUUUUCACAAUACUUCUUUUUUUAAAUUUUUUUUUUUAAUUUUAUUUUUAGGGCCGCACCCGCAUAUGGAAGUUCCCAGGCUAGGGGUCGAAUUGGAGCCUUAGCUGCUAGCCUACACCAGAGCCACAGCAGUGUGGGAUCCAAGCUGCGUCUGCGACCUACACCACAGCUCACAGAAACGGCAGAUCCUUAACCCACUGAGCGAGGCCAGGGAUCAAACCUUCGUCCUUAUAGAUGCUAGUCGGAUUCAUUUCUGCUGAAACAACGGGAACUCCCUUUUCACAAUACUUCUGAUAUCUUCAAGUUUCAUUUUGAGCUUUUACUUUUUAAAAUUUUUUUAAUGAUUUUUAUUUUUUCCAUUAUAGUUGGUUUACCAGGUUGAGCUUUUAAAACUGAAGUCCUGGAGUUCCCAUCUUGGCUCAUUGGGUUACGAACCCGACUAGUAUCCGUGAGUGGAUUAAGGACCCAGUGUUGCUGUGGCUGUGGUGCAGGCUAGCAACUGCAGCUCUAAUUCGACCCCUAGCUUGGGAACUUCCAUAUGCCGUGGGUUUGGCCCUAAAAAGGAAAAAAAAAGAAACCUUCAGGAGACCUGUACUUAGAAAAUGUUAUAUGAAAAAGUAUAUAUAGUAGAAUAUUAUAAGGUACAAGAAGAAAGCAUUGCCUUUUCCCGUAGACCAAAAAUUUCCUUGCACUAAUUAACACCUGCUUUAUUUAAAGAUUUGUGUAAUGCAGUACAAGCCACAGUUUAUAUGAAUUGUCUCCUUCUAGAUGAGGAAGGCCUAAAAUCUUUUGUUUAUGGACUUUCCAACUCAUCUGUAUUUAUUUCUCAGCAGCACAACUCCAGAAUACAGGCUCAUUAUCUCAGAGCCUGGCAGAUAAAGUGAAAUAUCUAAAAGCAAACAAUGUUUACAGUUGCUCUGAUUCAGCACAAUUUAGACUCUCUUUUGGCAAAGAAAACUAAAUGAUGCUCUGCUCCUUCUCAGCCUCGGUCAAUACUGAGGUCUGAGCUCCUUGUCCAAAUGACCACCCUUGCACAGGCUGCAGCCUCUGGGGACGCCAGGGCCCUGCCUUUAGGUCACCUCCCCACAACACGCACGUCUGCUGAAUGAGGACUGAUUUGGACUGUUGUCAUUUUAAUUUGAAACAAAAUGAAGAAAUAAAAAUUUAGAGAGUUAAAAAGAAAGGAACUUCUGACCAUCACAAAGAGACAAAUGUUGUAGGAUUCCACAUGUAUGAAGGCCCUAGAGCAGUCAAAUCCACAGAGGCAGUAAGGAGGAGGGUGGGCGCUGGGGCUGCGGGAGGUGGGAGCCAGUGGUUAAUGGGGACAGAGCUUCAGUUUGGGCUAAUGAGAAAGUUCUGGAGAGGAAUGGUGGUGAUGCACAGCAGUGUGAAUGAACUUAAUGCCACUGAACUGGACACCUAAAAAUGGUUGAGAAGGUAAAUUGUAUGUUAGAUAUAUUUUACCACAAUAAAAAAAUUCCAAAAGGGAGAAGUUCCCAUUGUGGCUCAGCGGAAAUGAACCUGACUAGUAUCCAUGAGGACAUGGGUUUGAUCCCUGGCCUCGAUCAGCGGGUUAAGGAUCUGGCAUUGCCGUGAGUUGUGGUAUAAGCUGGCAGCUACAGCUCCAAUUUGACCCCUCGCCUGGGAACUUCCAUAUGCUGCAGGUGCGGCCCUAAAAAGCCAAAAGAAAAAAAAAAUUCAAAAAGGGAAUUUAUCUGAAAGAGGUGGAGAUUUGGUCCCUUUUAGAAGAUUGAUCCUUCCAGAUUAAAUUUAUAGUUGGGCUCAGUUCAGAGGCUUCAGAUAAAGAGCUGUCAAUACCCAGGAACACAGCUCUGCCCUGUAACACUCGGGGGCCAGAUGACCUCUGCCUACGCCCAGACCAUAUGGGAUUAAACUAGAAUUGAGUAACAGAAAGAGAUCUGGGGUGGGGAAGGGAGUUAGGGAUUAGCAGAGGCAAACUAGUACAUAUAGGAUGGAUAAACAACUAGGUCCUACUGUAUAGCAUAGGCAGCUAUAUCCAAUCUUCUGCGAUAAACCAUAACAGAAAAAAAUAUGUGUGAAAUGUAUAUACAUAUUACUGAGCCACUUUGCUGUACAGCAGAAAUUAACACAGCAUUGUAAAUCAACUAUACUUCUAUAACAUUUAAAACAAGAAAGAGAUCUGGGAGUUCCCGUCAUGGCGCAGCGGAAACGAAUCCAACUAGGAACCAUGAGGUUGUUGGUUCGACCCCUGGCUUUGCUCGGUGGAUUAAGGAUCCGGCAUUGCUGUAAGCUGUGGUGUAGGUCGCAGACAUUGUUUGGAUCUGGCGUUGCUAUGUCUCUGGCGUAGGCCGGCAGCUACAGCUCCGAUUCGACCCCUAGCCUGGGAACCUUCACACACCAUGGGCGUGUCCCUAAAAAGACCAAAAGACAAAAAAGAAAGAAAGAGAUCUGGAAAGCCCUCCAAAUGCUUAGAGAUUAAACAACACACUUCUAUAUAAAAGGUGGGCUAAAAAGAAAAGUCUCAAAGAACUUUUAAAAUAUUUUCUGGAGUUCCUGUUGUGGCACAGUGGAAAUGAAUCCGACUAGGAACCAUGAGGUUUCGGGUUCGAUCCCUGGUCUGGCUCAAUGGGUUGAGGAUCCGGUAUUGCCAUGAGCUGUGGUGUAGGUUGAAGAUGCAGCUCGAAUCUGGGGUUGCUGUGGCUCUGGCAUAGGCCUGCAGCUGUAGCUCCUAUUAGACCCCUAGCCUGGGACUAUCUAUAUGCCGCUGAUGUGGCCCUAAAAAAAG
This 3069-nucleotide long non-coding RNA is filed under the name Sus scrofa (pig). Its description in RNAcentral is "lncRNA (ENSSSCG00040031111.1)". The record is from RNAcentral. Lineage: Eukaryota; Metazoa; Chordata; Mammalia; Artiodactyla; Suidae.